This 577-nucleotide ribosomal RNA is filed under the name uncultured bacterium. Its description in RNAcentral is "bacterial SSU rRNA". It matches the Rfam family "Bacterial small subunit ribosomal RNA", at positions 791 to 1364 of the family's 1533-position model. The record is from RNAcentral.
UAGUCCACGCCCUAAACGAUGAAUACUAGAUGUUUGAUGCCAAGCGUACUGAGUGUCGUAGCUAACGCGAUAAGUAUUCCGCCUGGGAAGUACGGCCGCAAGGUUUAAAACUCAAAGGAAUUGACGGGGGGCCCGCACAAGCGGUGGAGCAUGUGGUUUAAUUCGAUGCAACGCGAAGAACCUUACCUGGGCUUGACAUGUCUGGAAUCCUGCAGAGAUGCGGGAGUGCCCUUCGGGGAAUCAGAACACAGGUGCUGCAUGGCUGUCGUCAGCUCGUGUCGUGAGAUGUUGGGUUAAGUCCCGCAACGAGCGCAACCCUUGUCCUUAGUUGCCAGCGGUUCGGCCGGGCACUCUAGGGAGACUGCCGGUGACAAACCGGAGGAAGGUGGGGAUGACGUCAAGUCCUCAUGGCCUUUAUGUCCAGGGCUACACACGUGCUACAAUGGCGCGUACAGAGGGAAGCCAAGCCGCGAGGUGGAGCAGACCCCAGAAAGCGCGUCGUAGUUCGGAUUGCAGUCUGCAACUCGACUGCAUGAAGUCGGAAUCGCUAGUAAUCGCGGAUCAGCAUGCCGCGGUG